UUCUAAACCCCCGGCGGAAAGGGUCAUUUCUCCAGCUUUCUCCUUCAUCGGUCUUUCGCUUCUCCCGUCUUGGUCGUUUGCUGCUUCCUUCGUCUUCGGUUCAGUGAUAUAGAGGCCGAACUCCCUCUUCACCGUCUCCCACUUCAAGCGUGCAGGGUUUCGCCGUGUACUCCUUCAGGAAAAUCAUUUCACGAGCAAGACUUUCGACUAAGGUGCGUCAUCCUUCAUUUUUCCGGCUUACAAGCCUGCCCUCGACACACUGUUUGUGCGGGUGCGGGUGUGGUGUUUCUAUGCUGUGGCGGAGUUAUUUCGAAACUGUCAGGAGAAGAUAAGCGCCGGAAGAAGAAAUAAAAAGAACUGAGCACGCUAUGUACGGAGUUCGAUCUGUGGCGGCACUCUGAGUUUCGAUUAACUUGGUGCAAAUGUUUGGCAAUUCUACAUCGAAUUUCAGUUAGCGCAUCCAUGUAGUCUCUGUGUGCGACGGAGAGUUUGAGGAUGUACCUCGCGUCCGUUCCUUAUUUACAACGUUGAUGUGAAGGUGUCAUCUCUUGCCGUCAUCAACUAUCGCCGCCGUUACUUUGCUGGUGAUGAUUAGUGCAUGUAAUCUGUGUGCUAUUGGCACUAAUGUGUGAUCCUUUUCAGAUUUGUUUCGUUUCUUUCAGGAGGGACAUGCUAUUAUUUUUUCCUUGUAACGUUGGCUCGUGUUGCUCUCAGUUUUUUUUCUAAGUUGAGUUAGCAAUUCGUUAUGAAUUAGUGAUAUAUUCUGCAUUAUUGCUCGGAUGCUCGCAUUAUUGCAUUAUGUUUGUGGAAGUGUUCCAGUUAUUCAGUAUCUGCUCUUAAAGAUUUCAGUAGAGAUCAUAUUAUAGGGGGUGGAGGGAAGGGGAUCCUUCAUGAAAGAGGAACCAUCACUCUCCACAAUUCUAACCCUAGCUAAGGACGAACUAUUUCAAUACAUUGUGAUUAUGGGAGUAGCAUAUUAGCUUGUUGUCUAGGCAUGCAUUAUGGUUUUUAUUUGCGUAAAUUGUGUACAAGUAGGUACCAAAAGUAUUUUUAUAAUAUUUUUGGAACAAAUAGGGAGGUUACUUGGUUGUGUUACAUGAAAGUGCAGCUUUUUCACAUCGAUGGUGGCUUUGCACUAAUUUUGGUGUGAUGAAUAAGGAGGACUUAGAUUGGAUGGUGGCCAAUGAAGUAUCAUGAAGUUGUUUGUUUUCUAGUGGUUUCAUGGGAGUUGUUCCAUUUAGGUCUAAAGAAAUGGUCUAAAGAAAUGGGCAUAGGGAGUUUGGUCUUAAGGUGAUAUGAAGGGGAUGGUUGGCAUUGUUGAUUAAGAGUUGAGGUCUUGUAAGAAGAGACGUAUAUGAUGCAUAUUGAUGACUAUUUUGAAUAGUGAGUGAUUGAGUAUUAGAUAUUUUUAUGAGAAAUAUUGGCAACAAAGAAUAUAUAUAGGAGAUUGGGAAGGUACUAAAAUAAAAUUUAAUAAGUUAGAAAAUGUAUUUUAUAUUUUUUGCAUGAUUAGUGUUUUAGUGCAGAGUAUAAAUUAAUUCUUUAUCAUGAAGUAAAGUUUGAGAAGAUAUUAAACUAUGAUUGCUAUGGGAUAGUAAUACUUGAUGAGUUCAAAAAUUUGUACAGAAUAGAAGAUAAAUUGGUGAUAAGAAAAUAAGGUAUUAUCCAUAAGUGAAUGAAAAAGAAUAUAAGAGGAGUGGAUUGAAACAUGUGUAGAAUAGAACACUAAGUUUAAGUUGAUGUAAAAAAGAGUUUAUAAUUUGGCAUUUGAUGUAGUGAUUUGUUUGGUUUGUGAAUUUGCAAGUAUGUGCAUGAGAGAAAUUGUUUUUUGAGAGUAUAGUAAUGAUGAAAAAUAAAUAAAAUUUGUAUGGUAUUAAGUAUAAUUUGUAGGAUUAAAUAUGAUUCUCACAAACACUUCAAAUAUUUAAAGUUUUGAGUUUUGAUAUAUUAAAUAAGUGGAUUUCAAUUAUUGAUAAGGUAGAAUACUUGACAUAUUUGAAGAUGAAGAUUUGGAUCUAACCAAAAUAUGCAUUAAUGUAAGUUGGAUAGAAUUUGAUUUUUUUGUUUGUCAUGUUUAGGUAUUAUGAUUGUGCAAUUAAAAGAUUAGAAGUGAUUAUACAAGUGAUCUACCAUGGCCAAUUGUUCAUUUGGUUGUUUGCAUGGAUAUGCAUCUUUAUCAAGAAAAGAAGACAAGGUGCAAAGUAUUUAUUUGCAAUUUAUUGAUUAAAAGAAUGGAAGAUUUAUUGAAGAUAAAAUACAUGUUGAAUAGAAAACAAUGUACUAGUUUGUAUAUGCAACUUAUCCAAGUGAUGAAAGUAUUUGACAAGAUAUUGACUUAUGAUGACAACAUUGGAAAGAUAUGGCUCAUAUUUUUUGAGUUGCAUGUUGUGAUAAGCAAAAGUUUCUUAUUAUUAGAAAAUUGUGGAGAUGAAAAAUGGCGUGAAGCAACCAUCUUUCAAAUGAAGAAGAAAGAAAGUUUUAGAGAAAUCCUUUUAGAUUUGGUUAUUUGUUGCAAUGCAGCAAUUGAUACCAUGACAAUGCCUUAUUCAAAAGAAGUUGAAGGCAUCACACGAAUUAUGUGUAAUGUUGAUAUAUUUGAUGAAGUUGAAGGAGAUAAUGCAAGUCUCUAUGAGAGGUUAAUUGAUGGAAGCCUAGAUACUUGCUUUGAAGAAUGUAGAUUAGCAAAAUAUCUUUUUCAGAGACGGAAAGAUUUGGGUCGUGUUGAGGGUGGAGAGUUGGAUGCUUUGGAACUUUCAAACAACAUAAAGAGCUUGAAAAUUGGUGAGCAAAUAGGCAAAGGUGCUAAUGGAGAUGUUUACGAAUCAAAGUGGUUUAGAAUGUUGAGUGCCACAAAGGUAAUAGUUGGUACUUUUGAAGACCAUGUUCCCAUUGAAGUGGGCAUUUUAGCAAGUUUGAGCCAUCCCAAUCUUGUGAGGUAUUUUUUUGAUGAAAAGUAGACAUCGAUAAAUUUGGUGAGAGUUACCCUAUAGAAAGGAGAAAUGAAACUUUGUAUUUAGCUACAAAAUUAAUGGACAUGAGUUUGAUUGA
Non-coding RNA from Physcomitrium patens, 3048 nucleotides. NCBI's taxonomy places the organism in Eukaryota, Viridiplantae, Streptophyta, Bryopsida, Funariales, Funariaceae. The record is from RefSeq and is a predicted model, not a curated record.